Molecule: microRNA, 21 nt
Filed under: Drosophila melanogaster (fruit fly)
Lineage: Eukaryota; Metazoa; Arthropoda; Insecta; Diptera; Drosophilidae
Description: dme-miR-9379-5p
Source: miRBase by way of RNAcentral
CGCAUGUCAGGUGGUAAUCCA